GGCGAUAUGACCGAGCGGUUAAGGUGAUAGCUUCAGGUUUAUCUUCGAACGCUAUUCCGAAAGGGCGUGGGUUCGAAUCCCACUGUCGUCA
Non-coding RNA from Papiliotrema laurentii, 91 nucleotides. The record is from the annotation of a GenBank genome assembly. NCBI's taxonomy places the organism in Eukaryota, Fungi, Basidiomycota, Tremellomycetes, Tremellales, Rhynchogastremaceae.